AUUGAACGCUGGCGGCAUGCUUUACACAUGCAAGUCGAACGGCAGCACAGGGAGCUUGCUCCCGGGUGGCGAGUGGCGCACGGGUGAGUAAUACAUCGGAACGUGUCCUGUUGUGGGGGAUAACUGCUCGAAAGGGUGGCUAAUACCGCAUGAGACCUGAGGGUGAAAGCGGGGGAUCGCAAGACCUCGCGCAAUUGGAGCGGCCGAUGCCCGAUUAGCUAGUUGGUGAGGUAAAGGCUCACCAAGGCGACGAUCGGUAGCUGGUCUGAGAGGACGACCAGCCACACUGGGACUGAGACACGGCCCAGACUCCUACGGGAGGCAGCAGUGGGGAAUAUUGCACAAUGGGCGCAAGCCUGAUGCAGCCAUGCCGCGUGUAUGAAGAAGGCC
Molecule: ribosomal RNA, 390 nt
Filed under: uncultured bacterium
Lineage: Bacteria
Description: bacterial SSU rRNA
Rfam family: Bacterial small subunit ribosomal RNA
Source: RNAcentral